UACGUAGGUCCCGAGCGUUGUCCGGAUUUAUUGGGCGUAAGGCGAGCGCAGGUGGUUUAUUAAGUCUGGUGUAAAAGGCAGUGGCUCAACCAUUGUAUGCAUUGGAAACUGGUAGGCUCGAGUGCAGGAGAGGAGAGUGGAAUUCCAUGUGUAGCGGUGAAAUGCGUAGAUAUAUGGAGGAACACCGGUGGCGAAAGCGACUCUCUGGCCUGUAACUGACACUGAGGCUCGAAAGCGUGGGGAGCAAACAGG
RNAcentral lists this ribosomal RNA (252 nucleotides) under uncultured bacterium. Its description in RNAcentral is "partial 16S ribosomal RNA". It matches the Rfam family "Bacterial small subunit ribosomal RNA", at positions 524 to 776 of the family's 1533-position model. The record is from RNAcentral.